RNAcentral lists this transfer RNA (75 nucleotides) under Streptomyces phage Circinus. Its description in RNAcentral is "tRNA-Ala". It matches the Rfam family "tRNA". From Rfam's summary of the family: Transfer RNA (tRNA) molecules are approximately 80 nucleotides in length. Their secondary structure includes four short double-helical elements and three loops (D, anti-codon, and T loops). The record is from RNAcentral. Lineage: Duplodnaviria; Heunggongvirae; Uroviricota; Caudoviricetes; Stanwilliamsviridae.
GGGGAUGUGGCGCAAUUGGAAGCGCAGGUGCUUUGCAAGCACAAGGUUGUGGGUUCGAGUCCCAUCUUCUCCACC